UGUUAUUGAUUCAUUUCUUUUAUUUCUUCUCUGAGCUCUGAAAUGAAACCUAAAUAAUUUAGGGCUUAAUAGUUGAUCUCGUUUCAACCGAUUAUAUUCAAAGCUUUUCUACAGUAUUUGAUAUGAGAUCGCAAUCAGUUUUUGUUAUUCGAGAUCUCUAAAACUAAGACGAGUAUUCUAGAUCUUACUCUAUAUGGAAGAAUAGGAGGAAAAUGAAGCAUUUUAGUAAUAACCUUAAAUUUUCAUAUCAGGAUCUGAAUUUGGAAGAGGUGGAAGCCUUAUCAGUGGAUUUCUUGAAAAAAUCAAGCGAUUUACUCAACAGAAGAAACUAAUUAAUAAUGAUGGAUUUGAAACAACAAGAGAAAGUGAUGGGGAUGGAUAACAAGAAGAAUCGGUGCUUGCUGCACCGCCUUCAAUUUUAACGGAGUUACAACAGACUACAACAAGAUAUAGUGUGAAAUUUCAAUGCUUACUCAUUGGAGGAGGGCCAUCUGGUGCUGGACUUGCUGGUGAGCUUGAUGUUCAUUGGGGGAGGGCCAAGUGGUGUUAGACUUGCAGAUGAGAUUGCAGUUUCUACAAGAUAGGUGUAUUUUCUUGUACACCGGUUAUACGCGGUGCACAUAAAAGUGCACUGUUUCUUUUGUGCUUGAUAUACGAGGUGUAUAUGCUUGUACACCAAUUUGUAUCGAUGCAUCUUAGUCUCUAUUACCCAUCAAACAAAUUUGACUUUCAUCUAUUUUCAAUUUUCGAUCUCAUCUGAAUAUAUAUUUGCUUUGUGAAAUGUCUUGGGAUUUCUUACUUCCUAUCAGAUAUAAGGAUGCCUAUAUAACAGUUAGCUUGGACAGCUGAAGUAUUACGAAGCUGCGAAUAUAACUGUUAGCGGAGUGAUUGGAUUUUGUAUUAUCUCAGAGGAAUACAAUGUAGUACUGGAGUUUGUUUCCAAAGUACAUUAUCAACAAACCUUGGAAGUGCUUCUUUAGGGUCACUUUUUGUAUUGGUAAUUGAAUCCCUUCGCAUCAUAACAAGAGGUUUUAACUUCUUAGAAGAUGUGCUCAUUGUUUCCUUCGAGUUAUGGACUCCAUUUUUUUUUGUGACAGACUACAACAAGAUAUAGUUUGCAAUUUAAAUGCUUAAUCAUUAGAGGAGGGCCAACUGGUGAUAGACUUGUUGGUGAGCUUGAUGUUCAGUAGGGAAGGCCAAGUGGUGUUAGACUUGCUGGGUUGAGCGCCCCAAUCUCCAAGCUUUGUUGGAUGCUGUCAUAAGUUAACUGCAGAAGCAAUUGAUCAAGUGAGUGCAGUAUCGAUGUCUGUGCGUUGGAUGGUGCUGAAGGGCCACGAUGGAUGGAAGCAUGGGAAAUGCAUCUGAUUCCAUUUUUUUAAAAUUUUGGUGAAGUGAUGUGCGGACAAUCUCCUAUCCAAGAAUUGAUUUUCUAGGAAUUUACAGGGAAAUGAGUGGAGGCUUCACCGCAUCUUUUGGAGGUUAACUGCUAAACAAUCCUAUGCAAAUCCAUCCAUUAUGUGGCUAGAGCUUGGCGUGGUUGAUAUUUUUUCCAGCCUGUGCAGACUACAGUGGCACUAUCAUGAAUAUUGGGAUUUUUUGUAUUUUUGCAGAUGAGUACGUAGUUGUACACUAGUGUGAACUGAAAAAAUUUAAAAAUGAAAAUUAUAUAAUCAUAUGUGUACUUUUUUUUAUAGA
Molecule: long non-coding RNA, 1695 nt
Organism: Papaver somniferum (opium poppy)
Lineage: Eukaryota; Viridiplantae; Streptophyta; Magnoliopsida; Ranunculales; Papaveraceae
Exons: 7
Source: RefSeq, a predicted model, not a curated record